This 200-nucleotide ribosomal RNA is filed under the name Trixagus sp. TRI01. Its description in RNAcentral is "partial 16S ribosomal RNA". It matches the Rfam family "Bacterial large subunit ribosomal RNA", at positions 2484 to 2700 of the family's 2925-position model. Lineage: Eukaryota; Metazoa; Arthropoda; Insecta; Coleoptera; Throscidae. The record is from RNAcentral.
AAUUUUAUUUCUGAGAUCUUAUUAGUAGUAUAGUUUGCGACCUCGAUGUUGGAUUAAAAUUUAUUUUUGGUGAAGUAGCUAAAAAAUUAAGUCUGUUCGACUUUUAAAAUUUUACAUGAUCUGAGUUUAAACCGGUGUGAGCCAGGUUGGUUUCUAUCUUUAGAAAGAUUAACUUUAUUAGUACGAAAGGACCAUUAAGU